GCUGCUGCUGCUGCUGCU
Molecule: microRNA, 18 nt
Filed under: Corchorus olitorius
Lineage: Eukaryota; Viridiplantae; Streptophyta; Magnoliopsida; Malvales; Malvaceae
Also listed under: 1 other name
Description: ppy-miR-13
Source: RNAcentral